AUGACAAUUUGGUCUGUUCCUAUCUCAGCAGAAUGGCUCGUGGCGAUCAUCAAAAUGAUGAUGAUGAUUUCAUGGAUCCACCACAGCGUAAUCGGACAACUGCACGGAGAAAAGAGGAAGAAACGUAUUCGCAACAGAGCCUCCCAAGAACGACUGACUGCGUUGACUGACAAAUUCACCGACGAUCAGAAGGGAGCUGCUCCUGAGAUGGGUGUGCAGGCUAUGAUGGAUGUCCGGUGCAUGAACCUUGUCAACCCUGUAUGCAACUGGCUUGGUGAGAUCUACGACCCCGCCUCCAGGGAAUUCAUGAUUCCGGGACGUGGAAGACUACAGUUGAACGAGGAAUCUGUGUUCUGCACUUUGGAUGUGCCUCGUGGACAUAUCAAAGUCCCGUACGAGGUCAAUAAUGAGAUCGAGGAAGCGUUGUUCCCCCGUUUGUUUCCUGGGUUGGAAUCCAUGCCGAACACGUCUGCAAUGGCAGAUUCGCUGCAGGCCAUGACAACGCAUGGAGAUGUUUUCAAGAUGAAGCUACUCAUGUACCUCAUCUCAGUUGUUUUCGCGCCGACCACUUCUCUUCGCCCAAGCAACAAAUGCUUUCCCAUCCUGGCGGAUCUGAAAAAUGUGAAGAACAUGAAUUUGUGUAAGUUUAUUGCCGACUUCCUGCACGAUGCAUUCUCAAACAAGAUGUACCAAAAGGGUUGUCGACUGCAUUUAAUGCUCAUGUACGUCGACUGUCUUGAUCUGUCCACCAUGGCUUUCAUUGGGACUGGAGGCCCGCCGCCUACACACAAGUUUGUUGUUUCUGCGUGGACUAUCAAUGCUGUCAAGGUUGUGCUUGCCGCAGACAAGGCUACUGACACCACAUAUGGAAAACUGCAGCUGAUGGCCAAGCACGCUAUAGACUACAGCGUGUUUGGGGGGCCUCAAAACUUUGGAAAGUGGAUGGACGUGCACUCAGCUCCGUCUUGCCUUGCCGAGGCAAGGGCACCUGUUGAGCAUCUAAUAGGGCAGUUUGCAUCCGGAAUGACCGGCUUUCUCGGGAAGUUGGUUGAGGGGUGGACGUCCCUCAGUGGCUCUGACAGUGACGUGGUUGCGAGGCAGUUCACUUCAUUUGUCCCAGAAUGUACACAUCGGCCAACCAGUUGCCGUGGCCGGUAUGACUACAACAGUUCCCAAGAGCCUGCUGACACACAAGAUGAACUAGGUGGAGAUGCUGGUCUUAGCAAGGAUGACGACGAUGACAUGGAGAAUGUGCAACAGGACACCGAUGAUGAUGAACAUGCUGAAGUUUGCGCAAGUGGUAACAAGGGCAAGGAUGCAACAGAUGUCCCCCAACCGAAGAAAGUCAAAGAACAUACGGCUGCGAGAGGCGAGGGGGUUUUGCCAUCAAAGAGGGGGAGGGCUCCAGAGGGUGUUGGGCAGGGUUCUCCUGGCAAGAGGUCUAGGACCGAUCCUGUAGCUGCCAGGAAGAGGUUCAACUUUUAUUUUAGUGUUUUGCUUUGUCUAUUUUCUUUGCACAGACUCAUCCUUUUUUUU
This 1536-nucleotide ribosomal RNA is filed under the name Triticum aestivum (bread wheat). RNAcentral describes it as "partial small subunit ribosomal RNA". Lineage: Eukaryota; Viridiplantae; Streptophyta; Magnoliopsida; Poales; Poaceae. The record is from RNAcentral.